Tachyglossus aculeatus (Australian echidna) is the source of this 138-nucleotide small nucleolar RNA. NCBI's taxonomy places the organism in Eukaryota, Metazoa, Chordata, Mammalia, Monotremata, Tachyglossidae. The record is from RefSeq and is a predicted model, not a curated record.
CCCCUCCCAGGGUCACACCUGGAGAGUUUCCAGUAUUCUACCAGUCUCGACUAUCGGAUGGAAAGUCAAGCAAAGGUAUAUCCAUUCCAUUCCUAGCUUGGGCAGUGGCUAGCAAGUGGGAGGCAAUCUGCUACAAGU